GACGGACGCUGGCGGCGUGCUUAACACAUGCAAGUCGAACGGAAAGGCCCCUUCGGGGGUACUCGAGUGGCGAACGGGUGAGUAACACGUGAGUAACCUGCCCUUGACUUCGGGAUAACUUCAGGAAACUGGGGCUAAUACCGGAUAGGAAUCCUUGCUGCAUGGUGGGGGUUGGAAAGCUUCGGCGGUUUUGGAUGGACUCGCGGCUUAUCAGCUUGUUGGUGGGGUAGUGGCUUACCAAGGCUUUGACGGGUAGCCGGCCUGAGAGGGCGACCGGCCACAUUGGGACUGAGAUACGGCCCAGACUCCUACGGGAGGCAGCAGUGGGGAAUAUUGCACAAUGGGCGGAAGCCUGAUGCAGCAACGCCGCGUGCGGGAUGACGGCCUUCGGGUUGUAAACCGCUUUCAGCAGGGGCGAAGCUUGUGGUGACGGUACCUGCAGAAGAAGCACCGGCUAACUACGUG
RNAcentral lists this ribosomal RNA (465 nucleotides) under uncultured bacterium. Its description in RNAcentral is "partial 16S ribosomal RNA". It matches the Rfam family "Bacterial small subunit ribosomal RNA", at positions 28 to 507 of the family's 1533-position model. The record is from RNAcentral.